Molecule: long non-coding RNA, 798 nt
Organism: Sapajus apella (tufted capuchin)
Lineage: Eukaryota; Metazoa; Chordata; Mammalia; Primates; Cebidae
Exons: 3
Source: RefSeq, a predicted model, not a curated record
GGUGCUCUCUCCGCGGUGGGCGAGCGUCUCUAUGGUUGGAUCCUAAGACCCGGCCGCCAUUUUGUACGGGGGCCUUGAGCAAUGAGAGGCUUGGGGACGGUUUCGAGGCGGAGUUCCGAGGAGCUGGGGGUGGGGACGGUUUGGAGCCACUACUGCCAGAGGCGCGACUCUCGCACUGCCGUGUUUCAAAGUGACAACUUGCCAGUUUCACAAUGCAUCUCUUCCUAAAAACUGACCACCAUCUCUGGGUUAGUUUUGGCUGACUCAUGGAGGAUAUGCAGUGAGGAUUUUUGUGUCUUCUGCUUCACCUUUUCAUGUCAGAGUAAAACUGCCUUUGCAAAGAUUAUGAUGACUUUUGCAUUCUGGCAACUGACUGACUUCACCCGGAUGAUCUGAGACUCAGGAAUCAACCGGUCCUGUGGGCCCCCCACCUAGAGGCUGACUCAGCACAUGAGGACUGUUUUCCACACCCCCAUGAUUUCUUCCUCAACCAGUCAGCAGCACCCAUUCCCUAGCCCUCUCCCACCAAAUUAUCCAUAGUACUCUAGCCUCUCAGUUCUCAGGAAGAAUGAUUUGAGUAAUAAACUCCCACCUUCUGGUUACCUAACCCUGCAAUAAUUAAACUCUUUCUCUACUGCAAUACUGCUGUCUCAGUGAAUUGGUUUUAUGUGUACAGUGGUAAGAAGAACCUGCUGGGCAAUUACAAGAGGGCCAAAAACUCCACCCUUGAACCAUGCUAACACCACCACUUUUUGAGACGAGUCAUUCUGUUGCCAGGCUGGAGCACAGUGGUGUGAU